UUGCUCCGAGUUUAGGCUCGACUCUUGAGGAUCUUUACGGUCUUGCAGGUGAAAACAGGGUCAUUUCUUCUAUAUGUGACCUCUAUUCUUUGAAUGCCCAUAAUAGCAAAAGACCAAUCCAACCUUCAAGGUAGCGGCAGAGCAAAUAUUUCAAGAAAAUAUGAGAACCAAAAUCCAUGAAAGAGAUACUUGGAAUGAAAAAGUAAUUAAGGAUAAAAUAAUGGGAUUUUUACACAAAUAGUCGGCCAUAUUAAUUGUUUACUCUUUCUAGUCAUAUACAUAGAUUAUACAUUGAUUAUACAUAAUUAUACACAUGUAAUACAUAUAUUAUAUGCAUUCACCGGCUAUUUUUAGUUUAAGUGGUAGGAUUGGCGGCUAUUUAUAGUUUGCGGUCUAAGUAGUAGUUCCUUACCUGUUUGACUUAUAUAACUAUCACUUAUAAAAUAAUAUCACAUUAGAACAUGUAUCUCUUUGAUUCCAAGCAGUAGGUAGUUAGCACAGAAACCUAUAAUUUCCUACAUCAAAGCAAAAGCUAAGAAAAUUUUUAAAAGUAUAGUCAGAAGAAAAGAUGACCAACUCUAUAUCAAAAUGUAGAAAGGGCCACACAAAUCAUUCAGAAACAGAAUCUGAUUGUUAUUUGAUCAUGAAAGCAUGAAUUUGCAUGCACGAAAUAAUUGAAACUUGAUCCACAUCCAUAUGUCAACUUGAGGCAUCAUUAUUUCCCUAAAAUUGGAGAAUGAAACACAAUUUGGAAGGAUUUAACUCACAACAGCUUCAUUUCCUUUUCAAACUCUCUCAAGUUACAUAGAAAACCAAGUUAUUACUUAGUUUUCAGCUUAGCCUCAUUUGAAGGAGCCUAAAGUUUCUGCAAAGAACCAAUAGUUAUUCAAAACAAUCUCGCUAACAAUCUAUGUAUUGUCCCUGAUUUAUAAAUGUGACACCAUAAGGGAAGAAAGAGUAAUCUUAAACUACGUAGACUACUCAAC
RNAcentral lists this long non-coding RNA (986 nucleotides) under Nicotiana tabacum (common tobacco). RNAcentral describes it as "long non-coding RNA (NTAB_LNC011897)". Lineage: Eukaryota; Viridiplantae; Streptophyta; Magnoliopsida; Solanales; Solanaceae. The record is from RNAcentral.